RNAcentral lists this long non-coding RNA (1198 nucleotides) under Manihot esculenta (cassava). RNAcentral describes it as "long non-coding RNA (MESC_LNC003966)". Lineage: Eukaryota; Viridiplantae; Streptophyta; Magnoliopsida; Malpighiales; Euphorbiaceae. The record is from RNAcentral.
AUAAAGUGUCUGUGAUCAAUCCCAACGACUAAAAUGGAUCCAAUACUUCAACUAGAGCUUUCUUAUUAUUUAUUUCUCUUUUAUUUUAUUAUUCGCUUAUUUUAAUUGCUUUUAGUAGUUUGUUAAUCAAAUCAAUCUCAAACCCCCCCAUUUUACUUUUACUGCAAUUUAUUUUUAUUCCGUUUUCAGUUUAUCUCAUUUUUUGUUUAUCUCAUUGUUUCAGUUUAUUUUAUUGGUCUUGUUGAGAAAAAUAAAUAGGUAAUCAAUUCUCUAUGGAUUCGAUCCUUCACCACUAUCUGUAGUUGUAAAUUGUUGAUAACUAAGAAGGUUAUUUUUGACCGGCUUCGACAAUCGCGAGUCAGAGGUAUACCAUGAGACUGCACUCUAGGUAUUCCUCCCUGAUCUUAGUAGCAGAGAGGGAGAGUUUCCACACUAUUGUGGGUGCAGCUAGGAAAAUGGAAGCUAGUGCCAUCAUGCAGGGGACAGUAAAGCAACAGGUGGCACAGUCCUCAGAUUCCAAAACCCCGAGUACAGGGAAAAUUGAUCUCUCUUCUCUGAGUGCAGCCGCUACAGGAAGUAAAAGUGGAACAAAUCCAAGUCCAAGAAGAACAAGUUUUGGAACCGGUUGAAGUCUGGUCUGGGAAUGGGUGGUGGUUCAAGCUCUGGUUCGGAUAGCUCCGGAUGUAUGAGGUGCGGUAAGCCGCACAAAGGGGUUUGUCGAUUUGGGACUACAGCCAGUUUCAAAUGAGGACAAGAGGGGCACAUGGCAUAUGAGUGUCCCAAUGUAGCUAUAAUGACACAGUCCCAACAGACAGCUUCUGGCAGUGUGGCUCAGCCAGCAGCUUUAGCCACAUCUCAGGGCAGAGGGCGAGGUAGAGGGAGAGGGACAGCCUCUUCUUCAAUAGGUUCCCAAGGGGAAGGUCCUUCAGCUCAAGCACGAAUCUUCACCAUGACAUAGCAGGAGGCUAACACAUCGAACAUGGUGGUGUCAGGAAAGCUUUAUACAUAUCUUUAAGAUCAAACGUAGGGUCAGAAGUAUCACCAGUAUUAUGCCUAGACAUUAUAGAAAAAUUCACAAUUCUCUCAACUCAUGUGUUUAACUUUGAAGCACUCACUUAGUAUCUCAAAAGUGCACUUCAGAAUAAAGACUCAAUAAGCCAAGCUUGUAUGAUUCAAAUAAUAAGAAAAGCAAGGAAAG